GGGCUGGCCACGCGGGCAGCUGCAACCUGGGCAUGUACGUCUGUGUGGCAGGGGGGCUUCUGGACUGGGGGCUCGGCACCGACCCAGGAAGGGGAGCUGUGAGCAGGGACAUCUGGCCCUAGUCUCAGAGCAACAUCCCUCGAAAUGCCAUCUGGCCCUGGAAGGUGCAAGGGAGGCAGGAUGAGUCUGCUCAUGCUACCGCGGGCCGCCCAGCAAGGAAGCAGGCUGCCCGCCAGGCUGGCACGCGCCUCUUGCAGUGGAGGGUUUGCUCUUCAGGAACGGACAGAGAACCUCCAGACUCCCUCGGCUGCACGCUGGGGGCGAGCCCAGGCAGCCACAGGAGUCCUCCAAGCCAGAUGAGCCCGCCCUGCGGCACUGCCAGCACUUGGGACGCCAGACUCCCUUCAGGCGGCGGGCCCCAAGGGCACUGCGACAGCUCAGCACCCACCACAGAUCAGCAACAGGACAACCCGAGCGCGGAGACACAGACGGGAAGCGUGUGGGGUCCUGGGAUAGGCCCAACUCAAUGAUUUCCCCUCCCUGGGGCUAAGACACCACUGAUGUGAAGACGCAGGAGACAGGACAACCCCCCGUGAAGGGUCCUGUCCACCCACCACUGAGGCCUGGCCCGACUUUCUACAAGACCCUGCUGGGGGGGAAGUGCCCCUCGGAGUAAAGGAAAUACAGCCCC
This 691-nucleotide long non-coding RNA is filed under the name Homo sapiens (human). RNAcentral describes it as "HSALNT0395609". Lineage: Eukaryota; Metazoa; Chordata; Mammalia; Primates; Hominidae. The record is from RNAcentral.